RNAcentral lists this ribosomal RNA (893 nucleotides) under Psychrobacter sp. 21F07-Zb2-2. RNAcentral describes it as "bacterial SSU rRNA". It matches the Rfam family "Bacterial small subunit ribosomal RNA", at positions 584 to 1474 of the family's 1533-position model. The record is from RNAcentral. Lineage: Bacteria; Pseudomonadati; Pseudomonadota; Gammaproteobacteria; Moraxellales; Moraxellaceae.
UAAGUCAGAUGUGAAAGCCCCGGGCUUAACCUGGGAACGGCAUCUGAUACUGUUAGGCUAGAGUAGGUGAGAGGAAGGUAGAAUUCCAGGUGUAGCGGUGAAAUGCGUAGAGAUCUGGAGGAAUACCGAUGGCGAAGGCAGCCUUCUGGCAUCAUACUGACACUGAGGUUCGAAAGCGUGGGUAGCAAACAGGAUUAGAUACCCUGGUAGUCCACGCCGUAAACGAUGUCUACUAGUCGUUGGGUCCCUUGAGGACUUAGUGACGCAGCUAACGCAAUAAGUAGACCGCCUGGGGAGUACGGCCGCAAGGUUAAAACUCAAAUGAAUUGACGGGGGCCCGCACAAGCGGUGGAGCAUGUGGUUUAAUUCGAUGCAACGCGAAGAACCUUACCUGGUCUUGACAUAUCUAGAAUCCUGCAGAGAUGCGGGAGUGCCUUCGGGAAUUAGAAUACAGGUGCUGCAUGGCUGUCGUCAGCUCGUGUCGUGAGAUGUUGGGUUAAGUCCCGCAACGAGCGCAACCCUUGUCCUUAGUUACCAGCGGUUUGGCCGGGAACUCUAAGGAUACUGCCAGUGACAAACUGGAGGAAGGCGGGGACGACGUCAAGUCAUCAUGGCCCUUACGACCAGGGCUACACACGUGCUACAAUGGUAGGUACAGAGGGCAGCUACACAGCGAUGUGAUGCGAAUCUCAAAAAGCCUAUCGUAGUCCAGAUUGGAGUCUGCAACUCGACUCCAUGAAGUAGGAAUCGCUAGUAAUCGCGGAUCAGAAUGCCGCGGUGAAUACGUUCCCGGGCCUUGUACACACCGCCCGUCACACCAUGGGAGUUGAUUGCUACCAGAAGUGGUUAGCCUAACCUUUUAGGAAGGCGAUCACCAUAGGAGUGUUUACCGU